UCAGGUGCACACAUCAUGGAGGUCAAAGGUCAGAGAGAGAAGCAGCAGGCCUCUACAUCAUUCCUUUUCCACAGUGUGGAAUAGAGCUUCAGAUCAUCACCCUGCCCGGGAGAAGGGAAGCUGGCGGGGAUAUGAGUCGCGCCCCCCCCCGCUGCUCUGCCUAAAUGCAGUAGUGCAUGGGUAUUAGCAAGCUGUGAUGGAAGAGCCUUGUAGGAGAAAUUGGGGGCAACAGACCAAGAAAAUGGUUUGUGUGUUAUCCAUGGAGAAAAGGACAAAUGGUGUUUAAUUGGUCUGACAACAUAUGACCCACAAUGUAAGCAUACUGAAUCACCGUGGAAUUUUACAGUUGGUACGCAAGUGUGACUGACAGUCAGUGUUUAACAUGCAUGUCCUCAAAUUGCAUUCAUUAUGGUGUUAUUAACCGUCUCAUAUAUCUUUAUUUCAGUUAUUUACUUUCUGUUCAAUAUUUGGGAGACAUACUUUAAAACCACUUUCAAAGAGUAAGAAUUCGAUAGCAUCACUACAUCACAUUUGUGCUACACAUAGAGCCCUAAAGAAUUCACAGACAUUUCAGAUAUCAUUGCAGUAUUGAAAGAGAAGUUGGAAAAAAUAACACCACCGGUCUUUUUUUGUGUUUAUUGUGUGUUCUCUUUUUCCCCCCCUUUUUGGCAAAUAAAUUAUACUCACACGUGUGCAGGGAGUUCAAGAAUGAAUCUAACCAAAGCCAUAUAUGCUCGCUAAAAAAAAUACUUGAACAAUGAUUUACUUUUUGUAGUUUUGCCUCUGUACAGCACUACACUAAAUUUUAAAUCAGACAAUCAAGAGGAGAUUAAAGUGUGAAUUGUUGGAAUCGACUGUAGGGGUCUUUGGAGGAAAAACUACAAAAUGUGUAAUUGUCCAAAUUCCUCUCUGUUGCUAAUUACGUCAUUUUUUUUUUUCAUUUUAUGGCAAGUAGCAACAAGCCUAAAUAUACUAAAGCCUACUUUAUUGGAGUUUACUUUAUUAACAUUAUUCUAAGGAGAUGUAGAAAUUACUUUUAUUUUCAUUACAUGAAAGCAUAAGAGCGCUUUGGUGAAACGCAAACUGCAUUAUGUUGCUAACACAACUUUGACUUUGCAAACAUCUGAAUAGACAUUAGUGCAAAGCUAGCCAAGGACCCAGAGUCAUAUUAAAGCUGAGUCUAUGCUGACCCCAGCCCAGCAGCCAGACCCUGAUGUUCAUCAGGUAACUGCAGCCUCCAUUUCUACCUGUACAUGAUGAUCUCCCAUCCUUGAGCUAAUUUUCACCUUUAGUUUGUGUUGUUGGCUUUGUGUUCAUACAUUGAAGUUUGUGUCAAAUGUUAAGUUUAAAAUCAAAUGUGUAUCUAGAGCCAGGAUGGCUGUGACUCCUGCUUCCACUCUUGACGCUAAGCUAAUGAUUGUUCGAACAGUAAUUAACACUCAGACAUGAGCAUUGUACCAGUUUUCUCAGCUAACUGUCAGCAAGAAAGUUCAUGUUGCAAACUAGAAAUAUAUAAAUAACCUUGUCUAAAAAUAUGCCAUAUGUGUUAGUUUUCAGGGUUCAUCACUAAACUUUAAUAUUCUGUGUUUUCAAGGUGCUGACUCCCUGCAGUCACGAUAAUCCUGUUGGAUGCUGUCAUCACUAAAAAACAAAAACAAAAAAAACUACUCAGAAUUCAAAGCAUUCACCAUAUUUUCUGGACUUACUGCAAACUCACCGUGUUACAAACCUGUGAAAAUCAGACUGUUGCACUAAAUCAGAACUAUCCUCUGACUACAACACAUCAUCUGCUCUGUCUUCUUCCUUCCUCACAUCUCGACUCCCCAGCUGUUCGCCCUCACUUACGAGCCGAUCCAGGAAGAGUGAGUGUAAUUAUCAGCCUCUCCUCUGACCAUUUCAAAAGCUCGCAGUUAGUCGGGUGUGAAGAAGAAAUGUGAUUGCCUGUUAAAUUUUGACACCGCAGGCUGCAAACGCUCAACACACGGACGCCACAUGUGGACCUUUCUCAAUUUAGAAUGACAAUUUUUCACUUAUUUGGAGACGGAGGACAGUUGAGGCUGAAGCUGACAUGUCUUUGGCAGGUCCAUCAAAGAAAUGCAAAAAUGAAUAAAAGCUGCUCUGUAAAUGUUUUAUUUCAUGUCCUGCUUUGAUGGUGAUUAGAUAGAAUUAACACUCAGGUGAAAUUUAUUAUAAGCUGUUUAUUUUUCUCCUGUAUUCCGACGAGUUAACCUUCGUCUCCUUUCCAAGAUGGCAAUACUCAGUUCAUUCAAAGAAGCUUGACCAAAAGCAGGCUUUAAUAUCUUUUUUGCUGCUUUGUAUAAUUCAUGCUGGAGUGUAAACAUUUUUUUUCCUACUUUACUUUCCAGAAGUGUUUUAUUUCCAAGUCCUUGCAUAAAGACUUUUAAACCUUGAACCGAGCCAACCAGCUACAAAGUGAAUCAAAGCCAUAAAAAGAUUUGAUUGGCAGCGAAAAAUAAAGGGAAACUGUGUAGUUAAUUAGCUUUAAUGGUAAAGAAAUUACUUAUCCUAUAAUGCACUACAUAAUCCCAGAUUCCACAAUGAGAGACUUCCAACCUUCUUGAAUUUAAUUCCCUGUUCAUUGCUGUGGUGCAGUAAAUUUACAGUUUUGAAUAUAUUUUGUUGUGUGUGUACUAAUGUAUAGUCUAGUUACCAAUGCAGUGCUCCAUUCCUGAUUGCAAUCACUGCUCUCAUAGGUUCUGAAAUUUGUUGCUUACUUAGCAGUUUGUCAUAUUCAGGUUUAAAUAUU
Long non-coding RNA from Oreochromis niloticus (Nile tilapia), 2767 nucleotides. RefSeq lists it as uncharacterized. The record is from RefSeq and is a predicted model, not a curated record. NCBI's taxonomy places the organism in Eukaryota, Metazoa, Chordata, Actinopteri, Cichliformes, Cichlidae. The transcript has 3 exons.